GGAGGGUGCAAGCGUUAUCCGGAUUUACUGGGUUUAAAGGGUGUGUAGGCGGGCUUUUAAGUCAGUGGUGAAAUCUCCGGGCUCAACCCGGAAACUGCCAUUGAUACUAUUAGUCUUGAAUUUUGUUGAGGUAGGCGGAAUAAGUCAUGUAGCGGUGAAAUGCUUAGAUAUGACUUAGAACACCAAUUGCGAAGGCAGCUUGCUAAACAAAUAUUGACGCUGAGGCACGAAAGCGUGGGGAUCAAACAGGAUUAGAUACCCUGGUAGUCCACGCCCUAAACGAUGAUUACUCGACAUACGCGAUACACAGUGUGUGUCUGAGCGAAAGCAUUAAGUAAUCCACCUGGGAAGUACGACCGCAAGGUUG
Molecule: ribosomal RNA, 367 nt
Filed under: uncultured bacterium
Lineage: Bacteria
Description: bacterial SSU rRNA
Rfam family: Bacterial small subunit ribosomal RNA
Source: RNAcentral